This 274-nucleotide ribosomal RNA is filed under the name uncultured bacterium. RNAcentral describes it as "partial 16S ribosomal RNA". It matches the Rfam family "Bacterial small subunit ribosomal RNA", at positions 523 to 796 of the family's 1533-position model. The record is from RNAcentral.
CUACGAAGGGGGCUAGCGUUGUUCGGAAUCACUGGGCGUAAAGCGCGCGUAGGUGGAUCAAUUAGUUGAGGGUGAAAUCCCGGGGCUCAACCUCGGAACUGCCUUCAAUACUGUUGAUCUUGAGACCGAGAGAGGUGAGUGGAAUUCCUAGUGUAGAGGUGAAAUUCGUAGAUAUUAGGAAGAACACCAGUGGCGAAGGCGGCUCACUGGCUCGGUACUGACGCUGAGGUGCGAAAGCGUGGGGAGCAAACAGGAUUAGAAACCCUAGUAGUCC